This 484-nucleotide ribosomal RNA is filed under the name uncultured soil bacterium. RNAcentral describes it as "bacterial SSU rRNA". It matches the Rfam family "Bacterial small subunit ribosomal RNA", at positions 26 to 515 of the family's 1533-position model. The record is from RNAcentral.
AGAUUGAACGCUGGCGGCAUGCCUAACACAUGCAAGUCGAACGGCAGCGCGGGUAGCAAUACCUGGCGGCGAGUGGCGGACGGGUGAGGAAUACAUAGGAAUCUACCCUGUCGUGGGGGAUAACGUAGGGAAACUUACGCUAAUACCGCAUACGACCGAGAGGUGAAAGCGGCGGACCGCAAGGCGUCGCGCGGCUGGAUGAGCCUAUGUCCGAUUAGCUAGUUGGCGGGGUAAGAGCCACCAAGGCGACGAUCGGUAGCUGGUCUGAGAGGAUGAUCAGCCACACUGGGACUGAGACACGGCCCAGACUCCUACGGGAGGCAGCAGUGGGGAAUAUUGGACAAUGGGCGCAAGCCUGAUCCAGCAAUGCCGCGUGUGUGAAGAAGGCCUGGUUGUAAGACACUUUGUACGGAAGAAAGACGUGGUUAAGUACCGAUGUGAUGACGUACCGUAACGAAUAAGCACCGCUAACUCGUGCAGCACG